This 75-nucleotide antisense RNA is filed under the name Streptomyces sp. Mg1. RNAcentral's name for it is "ASpks TB sRNA". It matches the Rfam family "ASpks TB sRNA". RNAcentral also lists the same sequence under 1 other name. Lineage: Bacteria; Bacillati; Actinomycetota; Actinomycetes; Kitasatosporales; Streptomycetaceae. The record is from Rfam by way of RNAcentral.
CUUGACGGAGCCCAGCAGCAGCGGCUGUCCGUCGGCGCGGUCCUGGCCAUAGGUGGCGAGCAGCGCCUGGGCCUC